This 440-nucleotide ribosomal RNA is filed under the name uncultured bacterium. Its description in RNAcentral is "partial 16S ribosomal RNA". It matches the Rfam family "Bacterial small subunit ribosomal RNA", at positions 338 to 795 of the family's 1533-position model. The record is from RNAcentral.
CCUACGGGGGGCAGCAGUGGGGAAUAUUGCACAAUGGGGGAAACCCUGAUGCAGCGACGCCGCGUGAGCGAUGAAGUUUUUCGGUAUGUAAAGCUCUAUCAGCAGGGAAGAAAAUGACGGUACCUGACUAAGAAGCCCCGUCUAACUACGUGCCAGCAGCCGCGGUACUACGGAGGGAGCAAGCGUUAUCCGGAUUUACUGGGUGUAAAGGGGGCGUAGACGGCGGUGCAGGCCAGAUGUGAAAGCCCGGGGCUCAACCCCGGGACUGCAUUUGAAACUGUGAUGCUAGAGUGUCGGAGAGGCAGGCGGAAUGCCUGGUGUAGCGGUGAAAUGCGUAGAUAUUAGGAAGAACACCAGUGGCGAAGGCGGCCUGCUGGAUGAUGACUGACGUUGAGGCUCGAAAGCGUGGGGAGCGAACAGGAUUAGAUACCCUUGUAGUC